This is a long non-coding RNA of Etheostoma spectabile (orangethroat darter), 188 nucleotides long. RefSeq lists it as uncharacterized. The record is from RefSeq and is a predicted model, not a curated record. The transcript has 3 exons. Lineage: Eukaryota; Metazoa; Chordata; Actinopteri; Perciformes; Percidae.
CGCUUAAGAGGUAAAGUUGACGAUUUUCAACCCUUUGAAGCACGUUGCGGAUAAGCGCCGACCUCCCGGUGCUGCCGCCAUUCAUCUCCAUGUACGGCAGAACAUAAAAUCUGCAAACUUUCCCUCAAGUUACCAGCUAACGCUAGCAGUAGCUAGCUAGCUUGGCUAGCAAGCUGAACAAAAUGUUU